Molecule: small RNA, 592 nt
Filed under: Pan troglodytes (chimpanzee)
Lineage: Eukaryota; Metazoa; Chordata; Mammalia; Primates; Hominidae
Description: retained intron
Source: RNAcentral
GCGCGUUCCCGGCAGCUGCGGGCUCCGAGGCCAGAGAGAAAAGACUGCGAGGUGGCCGCAGCUGUGGCCGGAGAGCACAAAGAAUGAACCAGCAGUGGAAGAGAAAAUACUGUAAGCUGGCUGACUGCUGGUGAAGAAAAUGCUUUAUUUUUGUGGCAGGCAUCUGUGGGAUCUGUAAUAGAAAUGUAAGUGUAGCAUCAUGGUUUUUUUCAGUGCCGCAGUAAAUUAAAUGGAUUGGUUUAAAGUGUGGUAAAUUGAGUAUCUGUCAUAUUUAGUUUUAAUUAUAUUAAAUGAGCAUUUUCUUUUGACUUAUAGGUGCUUUAUUAACAAUUUAUUUACAUUAAGUUAUCGUUAAUGUAGAUUUCCAAGUCUCCUCAAAAGGAAAAGUCUCUAUAAGAAAAACUGAAGACACAGGAGUUGCUCAAAGAAUGCUGAAAUAGAUCUCCAGGUCCUCUGGGUUCUACCUUCUUUUUACAUAAUAAUUUUCUUAAAUAAUUAAGCUAGGCAAGUAGUACUAGCUUUUGUAAAUAAGACAGACUACUAGGUUAUAAAAACUCUAGUUACUAAAAACUUGUUUCACUAAAUUAAAGGA